This 72-nucleotide transfer RNA is filed under the name Galeopterus variegatus (Sunda flying lemur). Its description in RNAcentral is "tRNA-Gln". It matches the Rfam family "tRNA". From Rfam's summary of the family: Transfer RNA (tRNA) molecules are approximately 80 nucleotides in length. Their secondary structure includes four short double-helical elements and three loops (D, anti-codon, and T loops). The record is from RNAcentral. Lineage: Eukaryota; Metazoa; Chordata; Mammalia; Dermoptera; Cynocephalidae.
UAGGAUGUAGUGUAAUGGGUAGCACGGAGAGUUUUGAGUUCUCAGGAGUGGGUUCGAUUCCCGUGGUUCUAG